AGAAACCCUGUCUUGAAAACAACAACAACAACAAACCCUGUCUUGAAAAAAACAACAAAAAAAACAAAUAAAAAAGAAUUUCAGUACAACCUAUAAGUUGCUAUGUUACAAUGCUGAAUAACUGUAUAGUGGGGUUUUUUGUUUGUUUUUAAGAUAUAUUUUUUAUUUUAUGUGUAUGGGAGUUCUGCCUACAUGCAUGUCUGUACCAUGUGCGUGUGAUGACCACAGAGAUCAGAAGAGGGUGUCAGAUGGUCUGAGCCUGGAGUUAGAAGCCUCCAUUUAUCGGUGCGGCAGCUCAGUCCCAUAGCCACAGCAUCCCAGAGGCUCAGGAAGGACGGUCACUACCUAUUUUGUCUGUUUCGUUUUGUUCUUAAAAAGAUGAAGGGUUCAGAACAAAGUCCCUUCUUACUCAUAAUCAUUACAUAAAGUAAAAAGACAGUCAUUUAUUUUUUAAUUUCAUCUUCAUGGGUUGGAAGUUUGUUCUACUAUCCUGAUACUCCUAGUAUAGGACCUUUUCUGUCCAGUCACCUCUAAAAUUAUCUUUAUUACAAUAAUGUAUAUUAUUUGGCUUGGAAUCUCUUUAAGUACACCCUUAAGAUGUAUUUUAAUUGUGUAUUGGGGCUUAUACUUGUAAUCUCAUUGCUUGAGAAGCAGAGGCAGGAGAAUUCUUUGUCUAGCGUAAGAUGCAUAGCAUGAGAUUUUAUCAGAAAAAUAGCAAGUAUUUUAGCCAGGCCUGGUAGUAAACAGAUGUGUACAAUCCUGGCAGUGCUGGCAUAGGGAGUUCUAGAAUUCUCGGCAAGCUUGUACUAGAGACCUUAUCUUGGGGAGGAAAAAUGCAAGAUGAGUUUACUUUAAUAUGUUGCAAGGUACUGAUUCUCAAAGAUUGUUUAUACAUGUUAGAAGUACAGAACCUGUUUUGAUAUAUGUUUUCAAAAGUGGAAUUUACCCCAAUAUUAGUAGUUAAUAGCCAAGUGACGUCGGAGAUGGACAGAAGGGAGCUGGAGAGCUUACUCCAAUGGCUGAAAGAGCUUGAUGCUAUUCUAGAGGACCCAAGUGUGACUACAGAACCUCCAGCAGAUAGCUUACAGCUGCCUAUAACUCCCAGCCCAAGGGAUCCAAAGCUCUCUUCUGGCUUUCAUUGGCACCUGAACACACAUGGCAUACUAUCACAUCACAUCACAUCACACACACACACACACACACACACACACACACACAUCCCUGAAUGCACACAAAUAAAGUUAAUAAAAAAGAGAAUGGUCAGAAGUUUGAGGUAGGGAGAGCUGCAGUUUCUUCCUACACGUUUGUAAUAAAGGAUUCAUCUCAUUCCAUAAAGUACAUGAAACUUUCAGAAGUCACUUGUGUAAUAAGGUUCACUGUACAUACUGGAAAGCAGUAAACAUAGCAGCCACUAAAGUUAACUGAAAGUUUUCUGAACCAGUGGUUCUCAGUCUCAAAGGCAAUGUGUAAUGAUUUAGAAAACUGAAAAAAGAAAUAAAACUGGAUUUGUUCAAGGAAGGCCAAGUGUGACCCUAGUAAUAGCUUUGUUUACCUCUGUUUUACAGUUUUAUUGCUGUGAACAGAGACCAUGACAUAAGGACAACAUUUAAUUGGGGCUGGCUUAAGGUUCAGAGGUUUAGUCCAUUAUCAUCAAGGCAGGAACAUGGCAGCAUCCAGGCAGCCAUGGUGUAGGAGGAGCUGAGAGUUCUGUAUCUUGUUCCAAAGGCAAACAGGAGAAGACUUAUUUCCAGUCAGCUAGGAUUAGGGUAAAAAGCCCAUGCCUACAGUGACACACCUACUCCAACAAGCCUACAUCUUCUCCAAAAGGGCCACACCUUUAAUAGUGCCACUUCCUGGGCCAAGCAUAUACAAACCAUCACAGCCUCUAAGGCAGUAAACCAAUUAAUUAUAUGUUACUUAUGAUGUAAUAGAGGAAGAAAACUACAGCUACUAGUUUAGAACAGUGCUUGUAUGUACAGGAAGAUUCAGGUUCUGGAUAUGACCCAUUCAUAGUUGCCAAGUGUUAGGAUUGUUGGCAUUGAGAAUGGACCACUUGCUAUUCUUUUACUUGAUAUAAAAACUGUCUUUUAAAACCUCACUAAAGUCUGCCACAGAUUCAGUCCCAAAUAAGAGUAUGGGUUCAUACAGAAAAGUCUCCGCUGAGUCCUGGGAGAGAAUGGGUUCAUGUCUGGCUUUUGAUGGAAGGAUUCUACUUCUUAGAACUUCUGGAAUGAGAAACUGAUUUCUUUCUGUGUUAACUAAUGAGUGCUUUUAAGCCUAGCUUUUCAAAACUGAAUUCUGGCAUCUUCUAAAGUCAAGCUUUACAUAUGAGACAUUUCUAAACAAGCCAUAUCUAACUUGGUUUUAAGUAUGACUUCUGUGACUUUUUUGAUUCAAGUUCCAAAAUUUCUUCUCAGUCUCUGAAAGUUAAAGUUGUCGUACCCCAGUGUGGAGCUCUGUCAUUUGGAGCUCUGUCCUUAUUAGUAGUACCUAUUGGAUACAGACCUUUCCACAUCAUCUUUCCAUAUUGUUCUUAGAGAAAAUACUACCCACGAGAUGAACCAGCUCUUAGGUUAACAACUAUUUACUUGAUGCAGGAAGGAAAAGACGGCAGAAUGAUCAUAGGGCCACAGUGGACAAAGGGAGUCAGAAUGACGUCGUAAUGAGGAUGAGUCCAGUCCUGGAAACCAUAAGUUAUUUUCUUUUUCUUUCCUAUGUAGGCCACUUUGAGUUUGCCAUGCGCCAUCAUGUUAGAUAGACAUUUCUGAGACUCGAGAGCAUCUGGGUUGCUGAUUGUUUUUUAACAUACACUACACAUAUACACAGAUGAAUCCGUGAUCUUUCUGUCCCCUCUCCCUUUCCCUUUUCUCCAACCCACCUCCAUCUCAUGUAGCCCAAGCUUGCCUAAACUUGCUAUGAGUCCAGAGAUGACUUUGAAAUCCUGAUUCUCUGGCUUCCACCUCUUGCUUCUAUUUCUGGUUUUUAAAAACAUGUCUUUUUUUUUUUUUUUUUUAAGAUUUAUUUAAUUAAUUAUUUAUUUAUUUUAUGUGAGUACACUGUCACUGACUUCAGACACACCAGAAGAGGACAUCAGAUCCCAUUACAGAUGGUUGUGAGCCACCAUGUGGUUGCUGGGAAUUGAACUCAGAAAUUCUGGAGGAGCAGUCAGUGCUCUUAACUGCUGAGCCAUCUCUCCAGCCCCUAAAAGCACGUCUUGAAUUGAGGCAAAGUCUCAUGACCCAGAAAGAGAGUGAGAAUAUAGUCUGGGGGCUAGGCUAAGAAACCCAUAGCCAUAUAAUUUUUUUUCAGAAAUGAACUUCCUUCUCUUAUAAGAUAGAAAACAAUUAAGAAUAUUUACUUCUGUGUACAAUGCUAUAGGAUCUUAGCCAUUUUUUAUAGACUAGAAACUAAAUCUUAUAAGUUAUUUCCUUUUUUACAUACUGGCCACUUGGAGACUGCUGGGUAGUCUAGCUAGAAUUUAUCAGUAUCCUGAAGACAUUAAAAAAAUAUUGACCAGAAGUCAAACUGAAAGAUAAACUUU
This 3541-nucleotide long non-coding RNA is filed under the name Mus musculus (house mouse). RNAcentral describes it as "long non-coding RNA chr14:31056934-31060475". The record is from RNAcentral. Lineage: Eukaryota; Metazoa; Chordata; Mammalia; Rodentia; Muridae.